ACAUGGCCAUGUACAUCGAGAUUUAUUCAAUUCUGCGUGCCUGAUUUACAAACUAUACAAACAAAACUGUCCUACAAUAAUUAAUCCAACUACGAGAAUCAAAUCCUGAAAAAAAAAGUUAACCAAUGGCUACCUCACAACCAGGGGCGGAGCUGGAGCAAAUGUUACCCGAUGCACCACUUUAACAAGGAGUAAAAUUUUCAGGCAGCGAUGUAUUGAAUAAGGGUUUGUUUCACAGAUUCUAGCACAUUUUGUCGGAUGUAAUAGAAGGCAGUGAGUAAAAACAGAAUGUAGCCAUCAAAAUGUUUACUAUAAUGCUAAAAAAAGGGGGCAAAAUUACUUGAAAAGGUUGUCUUGCAUUUUGAAAUUCCAGAAUACAUCAUCCGACAGCAGGGCACAUAAUGUACAAGAUAAAAAUGGAAUUAAACUUUCUAGUAAAACAUAAUAAAAUGUCCAUGAAAGUAUUUAAAUGGCUAAAAAAUUGGAAAUUACCUUUAGUACGUUUGAUCAAUUUUCUCUUGCCCGGAUGAUAUUGAAUCUCCUCUUCCCUAUUUAUGUGUUCCGGAACAUCCUGUGAUGAUGCUUUUCUUUUGAGAAUAAAUGAAAUAUAACCUAAUUAGAAGUUAUAGUAUUUGUAUCUGACAAUGAAUGAAAUAUAACCUAAUUAGAAUUUAGAAGUUAUAACCCUAGAAAAUGUCUCAUGCUUUGCCAAAACAUAGUGGUUUAUUCUAUUUGUUACUAGUUUAUACAUAAUUGACUAAUCAUUGCAGUUUGUAAACAAAAUUAGGAACGGCAAGACAAAGGCGUUACCAUUGUGGCCUUUGAUACGCAUGGAAACGAGGACUCAAGAUUGGAAAGGUUGCCAAAUUACGGAGCGCUGGACCGGCCGACGGCGUGCGGCGUCGCUCGCGUGCAUCGCGUCAUCACCAAAGGACUCGGGGUUCGUGGCCUGCGGCGUCCGGCGGCCGGUGCCCUGCCGCCGCCGCCGCCGCCGCCGCCGCCUGUGUACGCGAGGGCGAGGCGUAUGGAGGGACCGGAUCUGUACGCGUCUAGUCUACACAGACCUGAUCGAUGGAUGGAUUUUUUUAGUUUUUUAAGUGGAGGAAGUUGGAUCGAUUAGGCUACGGGAGGGGAGGUGCGUAUGCUCGCGUUUUCCGCACUGGCCCAACACGGUAACGCAGCAGGCCGGAGGAGUGGCCGAAUAGGGCCGACCCUGAUGCACUGCUCUUGGCCCAACCUGAUGCACUGGGCCUUUUUAGUUGAUAAAUACUACUAGCAAAUAUUUGGACCCGUAUUCCUGUGCAUACGGGACGGCCCAAUGGGCUCCGCCCAUGCUCACAACGCACAGAGCGAUCACAAAAACGCCGAAAGAAUGAA
RNAcentral lists this long non-coding RNA (1377 nucleotides) under Triticum aestivum (bread wheat). Its description in RNAcentral is "long non-coding RNA (TAES_LNC005827)". Lineage: Eukaryota; Viridiplantae; Streptophyta; Magnoliopsida; Poales; Poaceae. The record is from RNAcentral.